CCUUCUUUCUUUCCUUCUUUUGGUCUUUCUUUCAGUCUUCCUUUUGGUCUUUCUUUCUCUUUCAGUCUUUCUUUUUAUAAUCAGCUGUGUCUUAUACCCAACUUUAAAAUGGUUCAAAUGCUGCCAGUGUGUAAGAAGGGGAAAUGGAUGCUUUUAGAUUCUAUGGAUAAUUUUUUAUGCAAGAAAAUGCCUUUGUUUGUUUUUAAAUGUAAAUGUAUAUUCUGCAUUCACAUGUGUGCAUGUGUAUGAAAGCAAAGGCAGCCAUUAAUGCCUUGCAUCAUACUGUAUGAUAUACAUAUUAGAAUGUACUACAUACUGCAUGUGACACAUGUAAUACGUAAGACAUAAUAUCAAGAUGUAAAAUCUAUAGAGUAUAUUUAACGCAAAUGUAUAUAUUAUGCUUUUCAAUCAUAAGGUUGAGAAUGCUAAAGACAUAUCCUUCAAUAUAGCCAGAACUGUCAGGGUUGUGAGAUGGUAUCUAUUUGCAUCUUUGUUACCCUGCUUGUUUUUUCUUUGUCUUGAGAUCUGGCUCCAUGCUUAGAGAGCUUUUAUUGUGGCCUCUCCUCAUCUGGGUCCUGAUCAUGUGGUAGAGGUUGUUUGUGUGAGACCUAACUGCUGCAUUUCUCCAGAGUCCCAUUGUCUUCUCAAAGGGUUUUAAUGUACAGGGAUCUCCCCCAGGGUCAGAGCACAGCCAUUAUAUUGAAAACUCUGUUCUCUCUCUUGCUGAAGUCAGUAGCAAAAUGCUACUUGUCUCGGUUACUGCAGGUCAGUCUGGGAAACGCAAGUAUGGUGUGGUGAGGGGUCUGUAGCUCAGAGGAGCUUGCCUGAAUAAAGAGAACAGAAAGUGUCUUUCAGGGCAGUUUCCACUGAGAUAAGUAAGUGCCCGAUUACUCUUUGGUUCAUUGCGACUGAGGCAAAUAUCUGUGAUGGCCUGGGCCUUGGGAGUCAUUCUGCAUCCUCUGAAGCAUGUAAAUGGUGGAUAAGUAAUAAGUAGGACUGAGGAAGGGUCUGCAAGGUGGGAUUUUGUGUAAAAAGUUGUCUUGGUCUCUGAGUUAAUUCUGUAAAAUGCUGUUGUUCUUAUCUGUGUAUCAGGUUCACUAUAAUGAAAUAUUUUUCGGAGUAAAAGAUAGUAACUUCACAUUUUAAGUUACUCUAGCAGAUGCACUAAACUAGCAGAAGAACCUGCUAUUUAAGAGGGAUGUGUCAAGGCUGUUUCAGUUUCCUAGUAGUCCAUGUUUGGUGCUAUUUUAUGCCUGAGUGUAUCAGCUGAUAUAACUUUUCCCAAAAUAAGAUAUAAAAAACUCAGGUUAAGCACAAGCCACACUGAGCCUACGUCAAAAAAUUCCUGUGCUCAUUCUCUCCCUCGGGCCUGACCCCACUGGCCCUGCUAGGCAGGAGCCAUCCCUCCUAAGAACAGGUUGUUCUCCUGGCCAGUGUGACAAAUGGCCGGACAUGGAGGCUCCAGCAAAAAAAGAUGUGAGGCAAAUUGCCAAUAACAUAAUCCCAGCAUGUCUUGCAGAGAGCUUAUGUAGAGAGGUGAAGAGACUUUGUGCUCUGAGGUGAAAUUCAGCAGUGAGUUUCUAGCUGGAGUGCUGUGGCUUUGGGCAGUCUCCACUGGUGCAAAUUAAAUUUGCUGCAAACACGCAACUUUUUUUGUGCAGUUUUUGCAUUCCAUAUUUUUCAGUUCUGGAAAGAAUGUGCAAAUGAAAAUUUGUGAAAUAGGACUGGUGGUUGCUCCCUGGAUGUUCUAUGUUAGAGCUAAGAGAAAUACAAAAGGAAACAGAAGAUUGGAAAUGUAACCUAGGUGCUUUAAUUCAGGCAUGAAAUCCUUUUCUAAGCAUCUCCUAAAAACAGUAUAGUGUAGUUCCAAAGUCAUCAACAAUACUAUAUAUUAUACUACUUCUGGUAUUCAUAAUUUUUAUUAAGCAGCUUUCAUAAUUCCUUCAAGUGACUUAAGUGACAUAGCGGUGACAUUGUGGCACCUGUGCCACUGACUUUAUAGAUGGCUCAUGCUGUCAAAAAUCUUACCUCAAGUCCUCAGCUGUUAACACUCACUCCUGGAUGUAUGAAAUGCAGUUCUAUCUGUCUGUCUAGAUAUUUCCUUCUUAAGGCAGAGCCAUUUUUGCAAAGUAAAGUAGGCAUCUCCAGGGACUUGUUUCCAUAACAACCUCCCAGACUGUUUCUCUACCCUGUGACUGGCUACAAGCAAAAGCACUCAUUGAAUACUUUCAGUUCUCAGAUAUUAGUACACCAUCUUUACAGCAUUUUUCUUUGCUUACUGAAGAUCCUAUCACUUUAUAUCAUGUUCAGCUGCCCUGUCCAACUCCAGACUGACAGAGCAUUAUCGGCAUUUGAAAACUGAUGGUGCAAACCAGGAGAUGGGAAAGGACUUUGUAUAUCUUUGCACACAGAGAGGAGAUGAGUGUGUGAAGGACAAUCUGAACAAUCACAAACAAGGAACAUUGCAUUAAAAAACACAUAUAUAUUUUUUUCAAUAAUCUCACUAUGAAAUAAAGAUUUUGCUGUGGAUGAGACUAUUGCUUUUUCCUGAACCCCUGGCUAUUCUGUGACAAUUAUUUCAACAGAAAAUUUCAACAAUUAAAAACAGGGCAGAAAUCAACUUCUUGUUGGAAGUGAGGAAGGAAGGAAAAGAAUAAUUUUAUUGAGGGCACCUUUUUUAUCCCAAACCUAUCCUUAUGUGAAGGACUGUAAGAGUGAAAGGCAUGAAGAGUUGUUUUGCAGUAUUUCAGAGUCUACAUUACUGAAGGAUUCCUGCACUUUCCUCUAAGAUGAAAUUUUUAUUCUGUUCCUCUUUGGAAAAUGUCACAUUUUGAGAUUUCUGAACAAUUUUUUGUUUUGGCCCUGUUCUUUCUGAUCCAGAGUAUAUGGAUAAAGGUUACUGCUACAGCAGCUGUGGAGGUGAAGGUGACUGGACUUGGUGUUCUCUGCUAGGCCCACUCAUUCAGUGUACAGAGAUCCCUAUGGAGAUAAAGAAGAAUGAAUAUAAAGGAUAUUCAGGGCAGCCAAAGGCAGGGUAAGGACUAAAGAGUCUUCCAUACUGUGAUGGAAAGAACAGCAUCAUCCCUAAAAGCAAUGGAACAAACACCUCCAGAUUCUGCUUUACCUGCAGAAUUAGGUCCCGUUUACACUGGGGAAAGAUCUACAGAUUACAGGAGGAGUUAACCACAGUUUACCUGAAAACUCUCAUCUAAUUUGAGUCCAAGAAGCAGAUGCUGCCCUCUUUUACACCAGUGCAAUUCUGGAAUAACUCCACUGACGUCAGUGAAGUGAAAUUUAUCCCAGUUGAAAGCAGAACUGGACCAAAGUCUCAUCAUCUACUUAUAUGCUAUGGUGCUCUCAGGAAGGUGCACCAUUACCAUGCCAUAAGGUAUGAUUUGAAAGAGAGUACCAGUGAUUUGAAAGAAAGGUCAGCAUGCUCAAUGUGGAGCAUGUCUUUUCAGCCACGCUCAGAGCUGGACCUGUUGUGUGAGGUUUCAAGCAACAUGUGCAGUGAUGCUGGAUUCUGGAUGAUUCAAGGCUGUUGUGUCAGAAUGCUGCAAAAGAUGUUGCAUCUCCUCAUCAUGGAGUUGGUGAAGUUUCCCUCUGUGCAGGGAAUACAGCAUUUAUGGACGUGAAACUGCUUUUUUUGGUUAGAGGUUUUCUUGUUUUCUUUAAAUGGGUUAGCAUGCUUAGUUACAGGAAACUGAAAUUAGAUGUGAACACAGGUUGGAGGAAGGAGGAAGGGAGAAUCCCGUCCAAGUUUCAAAUGUGUAUGAUUUCUGGAAAAAAUAAAUAAAACAAAUUUAAUUUCCAGUGGCUAAAUAGCAGCAAUUUUUCAUCUAUUAAUCAAAAGCCCCAGACAAGCACUGAGUCCUGUGGGAAGCUGGAAAUGGACACAGGGCACCUCCAAACCAUUCUGUUACUGACACCUAUUUUAAAUCUUUUUUUAAAGUGGAGGACCGAGUCCUGGCAAACACGUAAAGUCAACCCUUAGAAGAGCACAAAGCUUUCUCUAGAGAACUGAACAGCUGGCCAAAGUAUGCCUAUUUGUCUGCCUGUCUUUUUGCCCCUGGAUUACUGUGCUUUUAUAGACUGUUUUCAUAGCUCAGAUAAACGGUAGAAGUUUAACAUAGCUCUACAAAUAAUAAUCAUCUUGAUCAUGCAUAAUAUGCAUUACGUAAGAGGUGGGCCCAAACUAGAGGUAUUUCUCAUUUCUCUAUGAAGUGUCUUGUUUGAGUAUAUUUGCAGUUAGUUCUUCUUGUGAACAUGUGAGUCUAUUGCCUGCUUUAAAGUAGUGACUUAGUUUCAGUGGCUGUAGAAUGUUUCACUGAAAUAACAUUGUUUAUAGUCUUUCAUGUGAUUUAGAAGGCACAAUUGCCAUAUAGUUUUGAAAAUGUAAUAUAAUUGUAUACAGUGUUCCUGGGAAAUGUUCUGAAGUUUUUUCCCACUGCACCAUUGUGAUAAAAACCUGUUGCUCUUCAUGCUCCGUGAGCCCAUGCUGCACUAUGCUGAAGCUGAUGGGAAACCUACUUAGUAAUGGGAAGUGAGGGACAGAGAGUGAUGCUCUGGCCUGGAAUCUCCUCUCUUUGGCAAUAGCACAGGUAGAAAGCAUCUCCUUUUAAUGAGACAGUUCUUGGCACCUGUAACAAGCAAGGAUUGUAAUACCUCCUCAUGGUUGCUGACUGUGGGUCUGGUCCUCUGAUACGCUGUGACCUCCUGGCUACCUAUGACUCAAACCUGUAAUCAGUGUCUUAUAGGACUGGGCUUAAAGCAACUGUGACGUGGCAAAUCCAAAGAUACUUCUGGAGCAAGUCUGCACAGUAGUCUUGAGCAUGGAUGUAAAGCCACAGUUCCUAGGAGGCAACAUUCACUCUGUAUUCAUAUUAUUUGGGUGAAAACAAUGCAGAGACCUACUCUGACUCUCAGUGCAGGCCAGCUUGCAGUGUGAGGCUUCUUAGACCUGUGUGACCAGGCAACAUGGCUGGCAUGGGGUAGCCAGAGCUGCCACAGACCCUUCUUGCAAGGGCAGUUGUCUUCAGAGGUAGCCUAAGUAUAGGCAGCCUGCUGCAGAAGUCUGUGAGCCUUCAGAUGCAUGGCAUGCAGGUCAGAGACUUUAGGUGAUACUGUGUGCCACCACAAACAGCGCGGAUGUUUGUUGCAGGAUCCCUUUGCUUUUGCUGUGAAACCUAGCUCCUAUACAUUAUUUCAAGGAAAAGAGUUGGGAUUUGCAGGCCAGGUCAUGUGGUGACAUAAGUAUUUCCAAUGCCCUUAUUGGAGCUAGGCUGAUUUAUACAAGUCUAGUCCAACAUUUCUGAGAAAUGGUAGAAUGUAGGGUUUUUUGUUGUUGUUGUUGGCUGCACUGAAAAACUGAAGCCUUUCAAAUAAAGUAUGUGAAGUAAACAGAAUUUUUAGAUGGAAUAGUGAAAAUGCUGUUUUCUGGAUUCAGACUUUGAGACAAAUUUUUUUGCAGAAUCCACAUGUUGUGGGAUAAGAGGGUAUUGGGCUUGAAAACUGACCAAUGAAAUGGGACUCAACUGAGCUUUGAAAAGCAGUUAUAGUCCUUAUUGGUGUUGCCAUAAUAUAUGCUUAACUCAAACCCAACUUUGCACAGGCCAGAACCCAAUGAAACCAUGUAACUAGGUAUUUGUGAUUGUUCCUAUCAGUGUGAUCCACUGUUGAAUAGGCUGGACAUAUGAAUAAAACCAUUUUUUAAAAAAA
Molecule: long non-coding RNA, 5718 nt
Organism: Oxyura jamaicensis (ruddy duck)
Lineage: Eukaryota; Metazoa; Chordata; Aves; Anseriformes; Anatidae
Exons: 6
Source: RefSeq, a predicted model, not a curated record